This 249-nucleotide unclassified non-coding RNA is filed under the name Hevea brasiliensis (rubber tree). The record is from RNAcentral. Lineage: Eukaryota; Viridiplantae; Streptophyta; Magnoliopsida; Malpighiales; Euphorbiaceae.
UAUCUCGUCGGCCUUGCUGCCCGAGCGCAGAAAGACAGCGUGUGAAAUAACCACAGCAGCCGCGGCCAGGAGCCGCAGCAAGUUGAAAUUGUUCUGUUUUGGAUCAAGAAUUUGCGCGACGAGUACCGGGUUCAUCUGAACUCUCCUCGGUCCGUUUUCAUUCUUUCGGACGUCCAGCGCGGACCAAUAUUCUUUGGCGAUAUUGUCCACUAGCAAAAAUGAUGCAACCGGAGACGAGCAAAUCGGUUA